RNAcentral lists this unclassified non-coding RNA (290 nucleotides) under uncultured fungus. RNAcentral's name for it is "partial contains 5.8S ribosomal RNA and internal transcribed spacer 2". The stretch from base 1 to 132 matches the Rfam family "5.8S ribosomal RNA", at positions 22 to 154 of the family's 154-position model. The record is from RNAcentral. Lineage: Eukaryota; Fungi.
UGGCUCUGGCAUNGAUGAAGAACGCAGCGAAAUGCGAUAAGUAAUGUGAAUUGCAGAAUUAGUGAAUCAUCGAAUCUUUGAACGCACAUUGCGCCUUUUGGUAAUCCGAAAGGCAUAUCUGUUCGAGCGCCGAUUGGUUAGUAAGCUUUGCUUUGUGUUGAUGCCGCAGGGUGCAGCAUCGAAUUCUAUUGGCGUUGUGUAACUCUGGAUCGUAGUGCAAAUACGCUAGAGAGCGAAGCAACGCCUGUUGACUCAAGCUUGGCCUCGAAUCAGAUAGGGAUACCCGCUGA